UAGGUCAAGAUCUUUCACAUACAAAUCCGGCCGCCGCCGCUGCUGUCGCAACAGCGGGCCUCCAUCAAACGAACAUAUCUGUGGGUAAUCAAAAUACAGCGGCCGCAGCAGCAGCCGCCGCAGCUGUCAGUGCUGCACAGAAGGAUGAAUGGUUCGUUUAGGUGGAGGUUGAGGAGGAGGAGAAUGAAAAUAGAGAAGCAACACAUUAAGCAGUGAAUGAUCAAUUAGACUUCAGGAGAACUGUUGUUUUUUCUUUUUACAUAAUUUUUAAAUUAAAAAAAAAAGGAUUUUGCAUGGCAUUAAAUGAAGACUGUAUAAAAGUUAUCAACAUCAAAUUUAGUGGGCAUCUACGCGCAGGGUGAUCAUUUAAGAGAUUUAUAGUACCCAAAUCUCUUAGCGUUGAGCAUAGAAAAUUUCAGCAUGCACUUGUCAAAAGUAUGUAUGUAUGAAAUUUUAGUGUCGGAUAAUCAACGCAACUUGUAAAUAAAAUAUAAAUACAUAUAAACAAUUAAAUAAAUGUAAUUGUAAUUGAUUAGAAUUGAAGUAAUUUUUUUUUAGUAGCACAUUGAUGGUCUAAAAGUGUGUAACAGUGAAUAUAUUAGGAAAAAUGUGUAAUAAAAAGAAAGGUAGUUAAUAGAGAAUUUUAAUUUUAAGCCUAAAAGUAUGAAAUGAAAACUGGAUGAAGUCAAAGCCGUAAAUUUAAAGCUAAGCAAUUAGUUUUAGCCUAAGAUAUAUGCUCCUUUUUUACAAUAAAAAUAAAUUGAAAAGCGAAUAUAAUAAAAAUGAUAAAAAAUAAUUAGUUUAAGAAAUAGAACUUGAUUUCUUGCAAAUAAAACUUCUCAUUUACACACACAGGAAUGUGGAAAGUUUGGAUGAAAAAUCGAUCCUCGUUUUUUUUUUUUAACAAUAUUUUAGUCUUUACAGUGGUUACUACAUAGCUUUCAAAAUAUUUCAUCUAUUAAUAACAGCCCAAACACAGCAGAUGAAAAAAAUUUUGGUGCUUUUGUGCUUUUGGUUUUUAACGUUAGACUUCAGAAAUGGGAAAAUGGCUUUUGCAAAAUGCUUUAGAACUUUCAUUAGAAAAGCUUUUUUGAUUUAGUUUCUUAUUCAAUGGCCUGAAAAUACUUUAAAAAAUUUCGUUUUGGGCUUCGGAGCUUUUAUGAUUUUAUUUUUUAAAGUCAGCUUCCAUCAAAAGAUCUUUAAGUUUAUAAAAUUUCGUAAUGUGAAUGCUUAAGAGCGCGCUGUUAAGUUGAACACUGGAAAAAAGCUUUCGAAUACUCCAUUUUCUGCAUUUGUGACUUGUAUACUUAAGUUAGUGUACAUCAAAAAAGCUUGUAGGUUCUUUGAGUUCAAAGAACUUUCAAAAUGGGAAAGCUUAAGAACUGGUUGCUUAGUGGCUAAUGGUUCAAUAGCCAGAAAAACGCUUUAAAGGUGUGACUUUAUGCUUUUAGGCCUACGUACAUUUGUGUUUCAAAGUUAAAAUUCAACAAAAAAGCUUCAAAGUUGUUGUGUAAAUUUUAUAAUGAGAAAGCUUCGAAAUGAAUAGCUUUAUUCAAUAACCUUAAAAAGCCUUUGAGGAUGCAAUUUUCACCACGUUGUUUUUGAAACUCGAUAUGUAGAUUUCCUUAGCGUUAAAAAAAACGUAAAAAUUUGUUUUAGACCUAGGUCGCGCACGCCUUGCCUAUCUAUUUGCACAUCGCUUUUCUAUGUAUACUAAUGUUAGCCAGAGAGAGCUUUUAUCCCCUGCUCAUCCACAUAUACCAAAUGUAUAUCAAUCUUAAAAAAAGUGUCGCAUGGGUGACUAUUAAGGGGCCAACAUUAUCGUUAAUGCUUUCAGGCACAGACAGAAAGCUGUAUAAAGCAUUGAAAAUAACACUUUUUUUUAUUGUAUGCUCUGAAAGCUCAAAACCAUGAAAAAUUCUGCAUGAGUGACUAUUUCGUGACCAACUCUACUUUAAAAACUUUCGGGUUCACAAAUUAAGCUAUGGUUUGAAAGCUCAAUUGUGACAACAUUUGUCAAUGACAGUUGUUUGACUUUUCAAACUUCUAUUGAAUUUUUCGAGAGAACUUUUGUAUAAAUAGUUUACGCCUUGUAAAUUUGGUAAAAACAUUUUACUCGCUGAAAGUUUCAGCUAAAAAGCUCUCAUAACAUUUUUUUAUUUUUAAAAGCACAAAAGCUGUCUUUAUACAAAUUCGACGUUGCCGCUUGAAUGGAAAGUUUUAGCUUAAAAGCUUUCAUCGAUUUUUUAUUUCUAAAAGCACAAAAGCUGCUUUCGUUUGAAAAUUCGAUGCUGACGAAGGAUCUAACAAAAGAGGAAAGAGGAUUGAAAAGCAAAGCUCAGCGGUAAAACAUUUCAAGAAUCCCAGAAAACUGAAUCAUAGAGUAUUACAAUAUCAAAGCCGUUGGCGAGGAUAAUAUUGAAAAGCCACUUCCAUGAGGAAAAUAAAUUUUCAAACACAAAAAUUUUAGGAAAACUAAAGUUGUAAGAAAAUAAUUGUAAAAAAGCUCACUUGUAGUUAAUAAGGCAGGACAGUGCAAUAAUAAAAUUUUUCCCAAAGUUCGUAAGUACUUAAUCAUUAAAAAAAAACCUGUACACUGCAAAUUUACAUAAAAGCUAUGGAAUAUUAUAAAAAAUAGUGCAAAUAAUACGAAAUUGUAGCUAACUGUUUAAAAGCCACAAAGAAAAACUCAAUUUAAUAUUACUACAUAUAAUAAAACAACAAACAAGGGAUGUAAAUAGUUGACAAUACAGCAAAUAAAAAACAUUAAAUAUAGAUUGAAGGAAAAGAAAAGGUACCAAAAAAAUAUGUAAAGCUAAACGAUAAUAUCAAAGAGCGAAUACCAGAAUCAGUUACACAUUUUCAUCAAAAAAAAAGGUUAGAUGUCAUUGUUUAUUGGAAUUUUGAUUUUGCAUAAGACGCAGUAAAAUUUAAGAUUCUAGAUUUUUAUGUCAAAUUCAGCGCUUAGUAGCUUUGUAGUUCAUUUUCAUCAAGAAAUUUAUUCUGUCACAUGAAGCCAAGACUAGUAGCAUUGCAGAGAAAAAUCUAGAAGCAGUUAACAUAAGUUAGACGCAAUUAUGUGUCUUGAUUUAAUUUAAUUUUUUAUUUUUAUUUUUUAUUUAAUUUUGAUUAAUACCAUUCUCUUGAUUUUCUUCAGUAAUAUAUAGACAAAUAAGUACUUAAACUUUCAUUGGAUAAGUUUUAUUUACUAAAUAACAUAAAUGAACAAUCGCCAAUCGAACAAACGCAUUUUAAGCCAACGUUAAAUGUUGUGUUCUUAUAAAAUCGUCCCAUCUGACUCAUUUUUGAAAGUUGUUCUAAUUCUCUCAUUAAAAAUAUGUGAUACAAAGUUGCAUGGUACCUAAUCUAUCAUAUGAUGCAUGUCACAUGUCCAAUUAAAAAAUAUCACAUGCUCAUAUAUCAGCUGAUGCAUCAUCAAAUAUCACGCGAGGUAAUAUCGCUUGUGCAUACAUGCAUAUAUUGCUUGAUCAUACACGUUUAUAACGUUAAGUAAUAUAAUUUACGGAAAUUUGAAUAUUUUAAGGUUUUUUAAUGAAAUCUUGUUCAUUUGGGAUCUGUACAUCACAUGAUUGAGCAUACAAACCAAUAUUAAAUCACAUCAUUUCAAAUCGCAUCACUUGAAGCAGCUCAGUUAAAUUUCACCUCAUAAUUUCACAACUCUUAUAACAUAGCAUUCCGAAAAUAACACGUUUUAGUGAAAGAUCAAAUAAAAUAAUAUCAAAUGACGCAUAAACAAUUUAUCACAAGACGGUCGAGAACGUUCUCAGCGCGAAUAAUUUAAGAAAAAAAACACUGGGGUACGUUUCCUAAAGUUGGAUUUACAUGCGGCGAGUUUCAAGGCGAUUCAACAUUGCUCAAGAAAAAUCGCUCGUGUAAAUGGUGAUUCAAAAAUCGCUUGCCUGAAAGUAGACAGCAAGUCAACUUUUGCAGGAACAUUUAUAAGACAAAAAAAGUCUAAGGAACUUUCUCUCGAAGAACAAUUUUGGAACUAAAGUCUCAGGAGCAUUCUGACAGGGAACGAAACGGGAGCACACCUUCUCUGAACUAUUCACGAAGAAUGGAAGGCACGAACUUUUCUUGCACAGAAAAUGAAAAAUUAUUUCAUACAUGGACAGUUCCCUCUUAUGAUAAACUACCCGGUAGUUGAAAUGAUGGCUUAGAAUUACCAAUCAUAAUUCUCACUGAAACGAAUUUCCAUCCCAACAUGCAAACAGCUCUCUCAUUCUUAACGUUAAGUUCUCAAAACUUUUGUUGUCAUUUUGUUCUCUACCAGAACGUUACCCAGACUUGAAAACGUUCUCGAUACGUUCCUUCUCAUUGAAAAGGUUUUCGAAAGUUUCGUUCGCAUUCUGUUCUUCUUAAGAAUGUUCUUGGGAGGUUUUGAUCUAAUUUUGUUCUUUUUUUGAAUAUUCCUCACAGUUGUGUUCGCAUUUUUUGCUUAACGGAAACGUUCCCGAACCGUUUGUCCUCAUUUUGUGCCCGUUCAAACUGCUCAAUACUUUUGUUCCCGUUUGGUUCUUUUGCGGGAACAUUUUUGUCAUUACAUGUUGUUCUCGUGGGGAACUAAACCAAAACCGGAACCGGAAAAAAAUGGUCUAUACUUGUAGCGAAGAAGAGCCCAUAAAUAUGUGGCUACCACUGUAUAUUGGUCAUUAUGGCCUAUGACCUUCUAUAAUUUUUCGGGUAACUCCAUAAUGCCAUCUGUGUAGAAAUUUUUUUAAUCCGUCACCUGUUGCGUAGAUCAAUACCGGAUUGGAAGGAUUGUUGCUUAUAAUCCUCCGAAGAUAUGUUCAAACUUUAAACUUCUGGAGAGCCUGGAGUAUUUUCUGCCAGCACGCAGUAUUUAAAGCAUCCUUCACGUCCAGAGUAAUAGCAAGCAGCACUUCUUCGAUCUUCGAACUUUUCAUCGUUGCCCGCUGAUCGCAUCUUUAGCCAACUGAAACCGAACUGCAUAUCUGAGAGUCCUCCACCUGCAUCGAUCGUUGCUACUACUCUAUUAUUUGUUAAACGGUCUAGCAAAUUUCCCACCAUGUCUAGCAUAUACAUAGAGCGAUAUGCUGCAGGAUCACCCGGUGGUUUUCCAGACUUGGGUUGGAGCACUAAACGCUGUUGCUUCCAUAUAGCAACAAACCUUCCGCAAAGCGUCCAUUGAACGUAUGAACAAAUACUUCGGGACUCGGCAUCGAGAUAAGUUUAAGCACACAGUUAGGAAUGGAAUCAGGGCCUGAAGAUUUUCGGGAAACAAAAAAAAAUUAGCCGCGCCUAUAACUUCUCCUUCGGCAACUUCAGGAAAAACACAUUGUCUUCUGAGGAAUUUUUCAUUUUAUCUGUGGCCGCACUGAAUUUUUCUCCUUUUUUGUAAUCACCUUGUACGCUCAUGCCCACGAGCCUCAGAAAUGGUUCGAUUUCAUUGCGUUUCACUGAUGGUAAUUCGCUCAAUCGAAUUUCUUACAGUUAAUUCAUGUGCCACCAAAACAUCGAGCUUGUUUAAGUAGCCUGAUCUCCUUAUAUGCUUGAUUUUUAGUGGUUCCAUUUACUUCAUCGACUGUUCCAGUGAUAGGCUGACAAGAGGGAGGUACAUUACUAACUCACAAUUUCCAAAACGGAAUCGAUCAAACCUCUCCUGGGUCCGGCGGUCACUGACAGCAUUCUCACCGUACACUGCACACAUUUUUUUCUGCAUGUUUUUAUGGCUCUUUUUGCCCUUUUUAUAGUACAAUGAGUUUUGAAGUCCUGAAAUCGAGCGACUAGUAUUAAAUAAUCAUCGCACUUCACAAUUUAUUUCAUCACAUUCAAUACAUUACUUCUGAUUGUGCAAAAUCACAAGAUUUCUCAGCGUUUUAUGAAAUAUUCGUAACAUCAUCUGAGGAGAGCAUAUGGAUAUCACAUCGUACGUUCUUAGCAACAUAUCACUUCUUGUCAUUUAUUUUUUUUUUUGUUGAACAAAAUAUUUCAGCGUUGCAUGUUGACGUUGUAUCGCAGAUGAUCUUGACAACUCAUGACAUCACUUCAUUAAACAUCACGUCAACUCAUAACAUCAUUUGUGUUGAAUUGCAUGCAUACAUAGCAUUGUACUUCGUCACAUCGCUUAUCUACGUAUCGCACUUGCGCAUCGUUCAUCACAUCACUCGAUCACUCACAGGCCCAUCUCAAUACUACUUGUUUAAAAAUAAAUUCAUUGCUAUACUAACGCAUGUAGAAAGGUCACACCCUGCUACUUCCUACAAAACCUAAUCACAUCAAAUCACAUGUGCUAUAAAGUGAAUCAAUCAGUCUUGUAUACAAGCAAAACCAGUCACAUGAACACCACUAAAAUAAGUAAAGGGAAAUAAGAGACAUAAAUGACAAUACAAAAUCAUUUUUUUUUUUUACAAGAAACUGAAAACAAACAAGAAAAGCAUUUUUUCUUAAGCAAGAGACAAGCGAGGCGACAAUUAAAACUGGACAUACUAAAUAAAACAUACAAAAAUAAUGAAGAAAAAUAAAGCCGAAAAUUGCGCUCUCCAAAAACUACGCAAAAAAAAACAAUAUUUUCACGAAAACUAUUUUCUACCAAGAUAAUAUAAAUUUUUUUAAAGAAAUAAUAUGCAGAAAAGUAUUAACUAAAAUUUAAAACUUAAAUAUUAAAACAGUAGCUAAAAAGAGUCGUUAGUUUGAAAAGUGAAAAAACUGGCUAUGCUUCAAUUUAUUGAAAACGUAAAUUAAUCACAACUAUAAAAAAAAACAGAAUUAUCUAAAAAUAACUUAAACAAUACCAAUGCAACUUAAGCGCAAAGAAAAAACUAAAACAUACAUACAAACUGGAUCAACUCAAAUUUUUUGCGAAUACAGCUUAAACGUUAGUACUUCCCGCCGUUAGAAGAUUUUUGUAACAAGAAAAAAUUGAUAUAAUUAUUACAAAAAAAAACUAAAAAAA
Molecule: long non-coding RNA, 6937 nt
Organism: Rhagoletis pomonella (apple maggot)
Lineage: Eukaryota; Metazoa; Arthropoda; Insecta; Diptera; Tephritidae
Exons: 2
Source: RefSeq, a predicted model, not a curated record